CCUCCCUCCGGCCUCGUCUAAAAAUCCCGGUCGCUCUCGCUGUCCUCAAGCUCCAGCUCCCCCUUCAUCCCCCUCGCCUCGGCGGCCGGGCCCCCAAAACCCUAACCCUAGCCUGCCCCCCUGCCCGAGCUCCGGCGCCGAGCGUCCGCGCUGGGGACAUGGACGGCGGCGGCACGCCCCGCACGCCGGAGGACGUGUUCCGGGACUUCCGCGCGCGCCGGGCCGGCAUGAUCAAGGCGCUCACCACCGACGUGGAGAAGUUCUACCAGCAGUGCGACCCAGAGAAAGAGAAUCUGUGUUUGUAUGGCCUUCCCAAUGAAACAUGGGAAGUGAACUUGCCUGCAGAAGAGGUUCCUCCUGAACUUCCAGAGCCAGCUCUAGGAAUUAAUUUUGCACGUGAUGGAAUGGAUGAAAAAGAUUGGUUGUCACUUGUUGCCGUGCAUAGUGAUGCUUGGCUGCUGGCUGUGGCAUUUUACUUUGGAGCAAGAUUUGGGUUUGACAAAGAAUCCAGUCAAGAGUAUGCACAUAUCUGGGGCAUCUCAAACUUCCUUCUACUCAUUGCUCAGUCAGGAAGCGUCUCUUUGUCAUGAUUAAUAACCUCCCUACCAUAUAUGAGGUUGUCACAGGAACUGCGAAGAAGCAAACCAAAGAAAAAACUCCGAAAAGCAGCAGCAAGAGCAAUAAAUCUGGCACAAAACCACCACGCCAGCCAGAACCCAACUCAAGGGGUUCCAAGAUGCCACCUCCAAAGGAUGAGGAUGACAGCGGAGGCGAGGAAGAUGAGGAAGAGGAAGAUCAUGAAAACACAUUGUGUGGUUCAUGUGGUGACAACUACGGACAGGACGAGUUCUGGAUAUGCUGCGAUGCCUGUGAGACAUGGUUCCAUGGCAAAUGUGUCAAGAUCACUCCUGCCAAAGCCGAGCACAUCAAGCACUACAAGUGUCCGAACUGCAGCGGUAGUGGCAAGAGAGCCCGAGCAUGAUCCUUGGUGGGUAUAUCCAUCGCUCUUGCCUGUAGAACCAGGAGGUUAACUCGCUGUAAAACAUCCGCAAGGGACCAACUGCCCCAUGGUUGCGCAUUCAGUCGUUGCUUUCAGUGUAGGACCAGCUGUAGGGUCUUGAUGUGCUGUUUGUUGUAUGUCGAAGACAUUCUAGAUCUUCUGUUGUUAGUAACUAGCAACUAACUGUAGUAGCCUGUAUUUCUUCAAGCUUCUCCGAUCCCAGUGUGCCUGUAUUGGAUUUGGGAAUAGCUUUAGAUCUCAGUUGUGCAUUAUGUAUCACCAUGUACUCGUGUUAAUUCGUUAAAAGGUUGUGUGCUUCUAUUUCUCA
This is an RNA transcript of Panicum virgatum (switchgrass), 1328 nucleotides long. It is a transcript of the gene named PHD finger protein ALFIN-LIKE 8, with no coding region annotated. The transcript is spliced from 6 exons. The record is from RefSeq and is a predicted model, not a curated record. Lineage: Eukaryota; Viridiplantae; Streptophyta; Magnoliopsida; Poales; Poaceae.